Cryptomeria japonica (Japanese cedar) is the source of this 466-nucleotide long non-coding RNA. RefSeq lists it as uncharacterized. NCBI's taxonomy places the organism in Eukaryota, Viridiplantae, Streptophyta, Pinopsida, Cupressales, Cupressaceae. The record is from RefSeq and is a predicted model, not a curated record. The transcript is spliced from 4 exons.
CAAGCAGCACAAGUGUGGGGUUGUGUGAUUUAGGAUCUGGUAGUGUAGUUGGAGACAAGAGAAAGAGAUUUCUUGGCUUCACAUCCUUGUUGACUACACCCAGUAUACCUGAAGAUGAAGAAGAAGAGAUGCCUCGAGUUGUGUAUGAAAAUAUUGAAAACAUACCUCCUCUACCGAAGACAUACAUCAAGAGUCCUGCAAAGCUGAAGAGAAAACGUGGAGAUGAGGUGAACCUGAACUUGGAGGCAAAAUUUGAAAGUCAUCCACUCAAGUUAUGAAAAUAAUCAAAGAACAAAUAUUGUAUUACUUUGAAUCGAGUUUCUAAAAUGCUAAACUUUUUCAAAAUUGGAUAAGAAUAAGGGGGUCAAAUUCGUCGCGCACGAAAAACUGACCCUAUUUUUUUUCUGAAAAACAUAACAUAGUGUCUAACGUGUGCAUCAAAAAAGUCAUAGUUAGAUUUAGUAUU